CACGGUCCAGACUCCUACGGGAGGCAGCAGUGGGGAAUAUUGCACAAUGGGCGCAAGCCUGAUGCAGCCAUGCCGCGUGUAUGAAGAAGGCCUUCGGGUUGUAAAGUACUUUCAGCGGGGAGGAAGGUGUUGUGGUUAAUAACCACAGCAAUUGACGUUACCCGCAGAAGAAGCACCGGCUAACUCCGUGCCAGCAGCCGCGGUAAUACGGAGGGUGCAAGCGUUAAUCGGAAUUACUGGGCGUAAAGCGCACGC
Molecule: ribosomal RNA, 255 nt
Filed under: Cronobacter sakazakii
Lineage: Bacteria; Pseudomonadati; Pseudomonadota; Gammaproteobacteria; Enterobacterales; Enterobacteriaceae
Description: partial 16S ribosomal RNA
Rfam family: Bacterial small subunit ribosomal RNA
Source: RNAcentral